Molecule: ribosomal RNA, 426 nt
Filed under: uncultured bacterium
Lineage: Bacteria
Description: partial 16S ribosomal RNA
Rfam family: Bacterial small subunit ribosomal RNA
Source: RNAcentral
GUGAGGAAUUUUCCGCAAUGGGCGAAAGCCUGACGGAGCAAUGCCGCGUGAAGGAUGAAGGCCUAUGGGUUGUAAACUUCUUUUCUUAGAGAAGAAUAUUGACGGUAUCUGAGGAAUAAGCAUCGGCUAACUCUGUGCCAGCAGCCGCGGUAAUACGGAGGGUGCGAGCGUUGUCCGGAUUUAUUGGGUUUAAAGGGUGCGUAGGCGGCUGAUUAAGUCAGCGGUGAAAGACUUCGGCUUAACCGGAGCAGUGCCGUUGAUACUGGUUGGCUUGAGUGUCGGAGGGGUACAUGGAAUUGAUGGUGUAGCGGUGAAAUGCAUAGAUACCAUCAGGAACACCGAUAGCGAAGGCAUUGUACUGGCCGACAACUGACGCUGAUGCACGAAAGUGUGGGGAUCGAACAGGAUUAGAAACCCCGGUAGUCC